CUUCACCAAACCCUUAUUUUUUCGUUCUCUCCGAAAUUCCUUCUGAACCUGUAUUCACUGAUUCUCGUGUUGUUGGUUCGUAAGCCUUCUCCAAGAUAUGGAGGUCUUCGUUUAAAACUGUUUGGAUUGGUGUGCUGCCUAGCAACAUACAUACAUAUAUGACAUGGAAGAUGGGGGACGGAGAGCUCCCUCAAUUUGUGUCUAUUUGUAUUUUCCCAAAAACUUGGACAAGAUUUGAUGUCAUGGAGAUUAUUUUGCGAUGUUGGAAUAGGUGGUCUCGGAACUAUAGAAACAUUUAGAAAGAAAGCAAAAAGAACUUGAAGAAGAAGAAGAAGAGAAGGAUACACCAUAACAAAUGAAAAAGGAAUCGACAUCGGAAAAAGAAGAACCAAAGAACGACACAAAUUAACCAAACGUAAAAAAGAAGAAUCGAGAUAAAGUCAUCAAACGGAAAAAGAAGAACCGACACAGCAUGAAAAACAAAAACAAGUAAGAAAAACCAAACACAAGUAAGAUUAUCCAAUAAAAA
Non-coding RNA from Lactuca sativa (garden lettuce), 529 nucleotides. Lineage: Eukaryota; Viridiplantae; Streptophyta; Magnoliopsida; Asterales; Asteraceae. The record is from RefSeq and is a predicted model, not a curated record.